UACGUAGGGUGCAAGCGUUGUCCGGAUUUAUUGGGUUUAAAGGGUGCGUAGGCGGCCAUUUAAGUCUGGGGUGAAAGCCCGUUGCUCAACAGUGGAACUGCCCUGGAAACUGGCGGACUUGAGUACAGACGAGGGCGGCGGAAUGGAGGGUGUAGCGGUGAAAUGCAUAGAUACCCUCCAGAACCCCGAUUGCGAAGGCAGCUGCCUAGACUGUAACUGACGCUGAGGCACGAAAGCGUGGGGAGCGAACAGG
This 253-nucleotide ribosomal RNA is filed under the name uncultured bacterium. RNAcentral describes it as "partial 16S ribosomal RNA". It matches the Rfam family "Bacterial small subunit ribosomal RNA", at positions 524 to 776 of the family's 1533-position model. The record is from RNAcentral.